This 562-nucleotide ribosomal RNA is filed under the name uncultured bacterium. RNAcentral describes it as "bacterial SSU rRNA". It matches the Rfam family "Bacterial small subunit ribosomal RNA", at positions 338 to 916 of the family's 1533-position model. The record is from RNAcentral.
CCUACGGGAGGCAGCAGUGGGGAAUAUUGGACAAUGGGCGCAAGCCUGAUCCAGCAAUGCCGCGUGAGUGAUGAAGGCCUUAGGGUCGUAAAGCUCUUUUACCAGGGAUGAUAAUGACAGUACCUGGAGAAUAAGCUCCGGCUAACUCCGUGCCAGCAGCCGCGGUAAUACGGAGGGAGCUAGCGUUGUUCGGAAUUACUGGGCGUAAAGCGUACGUAGGCGGUUAUUCAAGUCAGAGGUGAAAGCCCGGGGCUCAACCCCGGAACGGCCUUUGAAACUAGGUAGCUAGAAUCUUGGAGAGGUCAGUGGAAUUCCGAGUGUAGAGGUGAAAUUCGUAGAUAUUCGGAAGAACACCAGUGGCGAAGGCGACUGACUGGACAAGUAUUGACGCUGAGGUACGAAAGCGUGGGGAGCAAACAGGAUUAGAUACCCUGGUAGUCCACGCCGUAAACGAUGAUAACUAGCUGUCCGGGCACUUGGUGCCUGGGUGGCGCAGCUAACGCAUUAAGUUAUCCGCCUGGGGAGUACGGUCGCAAGAUUAAAACUCAAAGGAAAUUGACGG